AUUGAACGCUGGCGGCAGGCCUAACACAUGCAAGUCGAGCGGAUGAGUGGAGCUUGCUCCAUGAUUCAGCGGCGGACGGGUGAGUAAUGCCUAGGAAUCUGCCUGGUAGUGGGGGACAACGUUUCGAAAGGAACGCUAAUACCGCAUACGUCCUACGGGAGAAAGCAGGGGACCUUCGGGCCUUGCGCUAUCAGAUGAGCCUAGGUCGGAUUAGCUAGUAGGUGAGGUAAUGGCUCACCUAGGCGACGAUCCGUAACUGGUCUGAGAGGGUGGUCCGGCACACUGGAACUGAGACACGGUCCAGACUCCUAUGGGAGGCAGCAGUGGGGAAUAUUGGACAAUGGGCGAAAGCCUGAUCCAGCCAUGCCGCGUGUGUGAAGAAGGUCUUCGGAUUGUAAAGCACUUUAAGUUGGGAGGAAGGGCAGUAAGUUAAUACCUUGCUGUUUUGACGUUACCAACAGAAUAAGCACCGGCUAACUUCGUGCCAGCCGCCGCGGUAA
RNAcentral lists this ribosomal RNA (500 nucleotides) under uncultured bacterium. RNAcentral's name for it is "partial 16S ribosomal RNA". It matches the Rfam family "Bacterial small subunit ribosomal RNA", at positions 30 to 523 of the family's 1533-position model. The record is from RNAcentral.